This 253-nucleotide ribosomal RNA is filed under the name uncultured bacterium. RNAcentral's name for it is "partial 16S ribosomal RNA". It matches the Rfam family "Bacterial small subunit ribosomal RNA", at positions 524 to 776 of the family's 1533-position model. The record is from RNAcentral.
UACGGGGGGGGCAAGCGUUGUUCGGAAUUACUGGGCGUAAAGGGCUCGUAGGCGGUUUGUCGCGUCGGGAGUGAAAACACGGGGCUUAACCCCGUGCCUGCUUCCGAUACGGGCAGACUAGAGGUAUGCAGGGGAGAACGGAAUUCCUGGUGUAGCGGUGAAAUGCGCAGAUAUCAGGAGGAACACCAGCGGCGAAGGCGGCGCUCUGGGCCGGUACUGACGCUGAGGAGCGAAAGCGUGGGUAGCAAACAGG